Molecule: ribosomal RNA, 371 nt
Filed under: uncultured bacterium
Lineage: Bacteria
Description: bacterial SSU rRNA
Rfam family: Bacterial small subunit ribosomal RNA
Source: RNAcentral
GGAGGGUGCGGGCGUUGUCCGGAAUCAUUGGGCGUAAAGGGCGCGUAGGUGGCCUGGCAAGCGUGCGGUGAAAGCUCGGGGCUCAACCCCGAGUCGGCCGUGCGAACUGCUGGGCUCGAGCACUGUAGAGGCAGGCGGAAUUCCGGGUGUAGCGGUGGAAUGCGUAGAGAUCCGGAAGAACACCGGUGGCGAAGGCGGCCUGCUGGGCAGUGGCUGACACUGAGGCGCGACAGCGUGGGGAGCAAACAGGAUUAGAUACCCUGGUAGUCCACGCCGUAAACGAUGGGCACUAGGCGCUUGGGGGAGCGACCCUCCGAGGGCCGGCGCUAACGCAUUAAGUGCCCCGCCUGGGGAGUACGGCCGCAAGGCUG